GAUGAACGCUAGCUACAGGCUUAACACAUGCAAGUCGCGGGGCAGCAUGGGGGUUGCUUGCAAUCCCCGAUGGCGACCGGCGCACGGGUGAGUAACGCGUAUCCAACCUGCCCUUCACCACGGGAUAACCCGGCGAAAGUCGGACUAAUACCGUAUGUUGUCCAUUGACGGCCUCCGAUUUGGACGAAAGGCUUGGCGGUGAGGGAUGGGGAUGCGUCCGAUUAGCCAGACGGCGGGGUAACGGCCCACCGUGGCUACGAUCGGUAGGGGUUCUGAGAGGAAGGUCCCCCACACUGGAACUGGGACACGGUCCAGACUCCUACGGGAGGCAGCAGUGAGGAAUAGUGGUCAAUGGGCGUAAGCCUGAACCAGCCAAGUAGCGUGCAGGAUGACGGCCCUAUGGGUGGUAAACCGCUUUUAUGCGGGGAUAAAGUGGCCCACGUGUGGGCUUUUGCAGGUACCGCAUGAAUAAGGACCGGCUAAUUCCGUG
This 490-nucleotide ribosomal RNA is filed under the name uncultured bacterium. Its description in RNAcentral is "partial 16S ribosomal RNA". It matches the Rfam family "Bacterial small subunit ribosomal RNA", at positions 28 to 507 of the family's 1533-position model. The record is from RNAcentral.